AUAGUAUAUUAUAACCACGUGUUAAACUGCUUUGUAAGCUAUUGCCUGAAUUUUGUAGUAAUUCAAUUUUUAAUGUUAAUUGUCUACAAAAAGUUUUUGAAGAAUCGCUGAUUUAACAAGCUUCAUUAUUCAUAGAAGAAAUAAAAGGACUGUAUCGAAUGUUAAUGAAAAGUGGAUGGUGUGACAAGUAAAGCAUUGGAUUCAUUAGUGAAGAUAUACAGAGGAGAGAGAGGGAGAUGAAAGAUGGAGACCCAU
Long non-coding RNA from Amphimedon queenslandica, 255 nucleotides. RefSeq lists it as uncharacterized. Lineage: Eukaryota; Metazoa; Porifera; Demospongiae; Haplosclerida; Niphatidae. The transcript has 3 exons. The record is from RefSeq and is a predicted model, not a curated record.